GCCGGGAUAACUCAAUUGGUAAAAC
RNAcentral lists this transfer RNA (25 nucleotides) under Bryopteris filicina. RNAcentral describes it as "partial transfer RNA-Phe". The record is from RNAcentral. Lineage: Eukaryota; Viridiplantae; Streptophyta; Jungermanniopsida; Porellales; Lejeuneaceae.